CCCUUAGAUGUCCUGGGCUGCACGCGCGCUACACUGAUGUGUCCAGUAAGCACCUAACCUCUUCCGAAAGGAACGGGUAACCUUUGCAAAGCACAUCGUGAUGGGGAUAGAUUAUUGCAAUUAUUAGUCUUGAACGAGGGAUUCCUAGUAAGCACAAGUCAUCAGCUUGUGUUGAUUACGUCCCUGCCCUUUGUACACACCGCCCGUCGCUCCUACCGAUUGAAUGUUCCGGUGAGCUCUUCGGACUGCGCGGUCUGCAGUUUCUGCGUUCCGUGCGGAAAGUUGCGCAAACCUUAACAUUUAGAGGAAGGAGAAGUCGUAACA
This 324-nucleotide ribosomal RNA is filed under the name uncultured eukaryote. RNAcentral describes it as "partial 18S ribosomal RNA". It matches the Rfam family "Eukaryotic small subunit ribosomal RNA", at positions 1470 to 1796 of the family's 1831-position model. The record is from RNAcentral.